This 898-nucleotide long non-coding RNA is filed under the name Oryctolagus cuniculus (rabbit). RNAcentral's name for it is "lncRNA (ENSOCUG00000039113.1)". The record is from RNAcentral. Lineage: Eukaryota; Metazoa; Chordata; Mammalia; Lagomorpha; Leporidae.
CUUCCUUGGAUGCAAGGGUCUGUGUGUUGUUUCCAGGAGGGUCAGGGUCUUCAUGUGUCUUAUCUCCUGUGUGUGUUGUUUCCCGAGUUACUGCACAGGUAUUAUUUCCUAGGAGGUGGUGGUGUCAUGUGUGUAGUUUACUGGGAGGUCACAAUCUGUAUGUUGUUUUUUUUCUGGGAGGUCGUGGCCCACGGGUAUCGCUUCAUGGGAGAGCAGGGUGUACCGGUUUUUAGUUUCCUUGGUGACUCAGGUCUGCAUGUGUGUUGUUUCCUGGUGUGCCAGGGUCUGGUGUGUGUGGUUUCUUGGGAGGUCGGGGUGUCCAUGUGUUCUAUUUCCUGGGAGGCCAGAAUCCGUGUGUGUUGAUUCCUAGGAAGGUAGGGUCUUCAUGUGUUGUUUCCUGGGAGGCCAGUGGUGUGUGUGUGUGCUCUUACCUGGGCGGUAAGCAGAUGCCUGUGUUUCAUUUCUCUCAGGCCAGAUUCUGUUUGUGCUGUUUCCUGUGACACCCGGUUCUGUGCUUGGGUCUGCAUGUUUCUUGUUUCCUGGGAGUUCGGGGUUUUUGUGUUGCUUCCUGAAGUGUCAGUGUCUGUGCAUGCAUUGGUUCCCGGGGAUGUGUUUUGUUUCCAGAGAACCCAGGCUUGUCUAGGUCCUAGACAGCAUCUACAGGUGUUUUGAACCUGAGAGGCCUAAAUCUGUUUAUAUUGUUUCCUGCAACACCAGGAACUAUAACUCUGUUUGUUUGUUUGUUUUUUCCUUGAGGCCAGAGUCUGCCUGUGUUUUAUUCCUGCGAGGUGAGGGUCUCUGUAUAUUGUUUUCUGGGAUCGGCUCAGGUUUUGCUUCCUAGGAGCCUGAUUGGUAUGUGCACUGUUUCCUUGGAUGCCAAGGUCUCCGUGUUUAUUUG